GGGUUUCAUGAGAUGUAUCACAAGCUUUAUCUGGCAAGGGAUGCACAGAUUUGAACAAGGGAUCCGUUUGAUGUGGAUUUGUUAGUAGAUGCGAUUAGUAAGACAAAGGUGUUUCUAAGGGCCGGACAGAUGGCAGAGUUUGAUGGUUGUCGGACUAAGGUCCUAAGUUAUACGACCUAGAUGGCUUGGAUAAGCUGAGCCUGUGAGGGUAUGAUGCAUAAGCUGAGCCUAUGAGGCUAUGAUGCAUAAGCUGAGCCUGUCGACUCUAUGAUGCAUAAGCUGAGCCUGUCGACUCUAUGAUGCAUAAGCUGAGCUUGUGUUCUUAAUAUGUCUGAACUGAAACUGUUAAGGCUAUGAUGCAUAAGCUGAGCCUGUGAGGUUACAUAUGUGUUUCUUGUGCUUAAAACACUUGUACAUCAUGCUUUAAAGGUUGUUUAAGUUUAGUGGAAAAUUACUCUU
This 459-nucleotide long non-coding RNA is filed under the name Helianthus annuus (common sunflower). Its description in RNAcentral is "hypothetical non coding rna". The record is from RNAcentral. Lineage: Eukaryota; Viridiplantae; Streptophyta; Magnoliopsida; Asterales; Asteraceae.